RNAcentral lists this ribosomal RNA (1530 nucleotides) under Salmonella enterica subsp. enterica. Its description in RNAcentral is "bacterial SSU rRNA". It matches the Rfam family "Bacterial small subunit ribosomal RNA". Lineage: Bacteria; Pseudomonadati; Pseudomonadota; Gammaproteobacteria; Enterobacterales; Enterobacteriaceae. The record is from RNAcentral.
AGAGUUUGAUCAUGGCUCAGAUUGAACGCUGGCGGCAGGCCUAACACAUGCAAGUCGAACGGUAACAGGAAGCAGCUUGCUGCUUUGCUGACGAGUGGCGGACGGGUGAGUAAUGUCUGGGAAACUGCCUGAUGGAGGGGGAUAACUACUGGAAACGGUGGCUAAUACCGCAUAACGUCGCAAGACCAAAGAGGGGGACCUUCGGGCCUCUUGCCAUCAGAUGUGCCCAGAUGGGAUUAGCUUGUUGGUGAGGUAACGGCUCACCAAGGCGACGAUCCCUAGCUGGUCUGAGAGGAUGACCAGCCACACUGGAACUGAGACACGGUCCAGACUCCUACGGGAGGCAGCAGUGGGGAAUAUUGCACAAUGGGCGCAAGCCUGAUGCAGCCAUGCCGCGUGUAUGAAGAAGGCCUUCGGGUUGUAAAGUACUUUCAGCGGGGAGGAAGGUGUUGUGGUUAAUAACCACAGCAAUUGACGUUACCCGCAGAAGAAGCACCGGCUAACUCCGUGCCAGCAGCCGCGGUAAUACGGAGGGUGCAAGCGUUAAUCGGAAUUACUGGGCGUAAAGCGCACGCAGGCGGCCUGUCAAGUCGGAUGUGAAAUCCCCGGGCUCAACCUGGGAACUGCAUUCGAAACUGGCAGGCUUGAGUCUUGUAGAGGGGGGUAGAAUUCCAGGUGUAGCGGUGAAAUGCGUAGAGAUCUGGAGGAAUACCGGUGGCGAAGGCGGCCCCCUGGACAAAGACUGACGCUCAGGUGCGAAAGCGUGGGGAGCAAACAGGAUUAGAUACCCUGGUAGUCCACGCCGUAAACGAUGUCUACUUGGAGGUUGUGCCCUUGAGGCGUGGCUUCCGGAGCUAACGCGUUAAGUAGACCGCCUGGGGAGUACGGCCGCAAGGUUAAAACUCAAAUGAAUUGACGGGGGCCCGCACAAGCGGUGGAGCAUGUGGUUUAAUUCGAUGCAACGCGAAGAACCUUACCUGGUCUUGACAUCCACAGAACUUUCCAGAGAUGGAUUGGUGCCUUCGGGAACUGUGAGACAGGUGCUGCAUGGCUGUCGUCAGCUCGUGUUGUGAAAUGUUGGGUUAAGUCCCGCAACGAGCGCAACCCUUAUCCUUUGUUGCCAGCGGUCCGGCCGGGAACUCAAAGGAGACUGCCAGUGAUAAACUGGAGGAAGGUGGGGAUGACGUCAAGUCAUCAUGGCCCUUACGACCAGGGCUACACACGUGCUACAAUGGCGCAUACAAAGAGAAGCGACCUCGCGAGAGCAAGCGGACCUCAUAAAGUGCGUCGUAGUCCGGAUUGGAGUCUGCAACUCGACUCCAUGAAGUCGGAAUCGCUAGUAAUCGUGGAUCAGAAUGCCACGGUGAAUACGUUCCCGGGCCUUGUACACACCGCCCGUCACACCAUGGGAGUGGGUUGCAAAAGAAGUAGGUAGCUUAACCUUCGGGAGGGCGCUUACCACUUUGUGAUUCAUGACUGGGGUGAAGUCGUAACAAGGUAACCGUAGGGGAACCUGCGGUUGGAUCACCU